RNAcentral lists this ribosomal RNA (464 nucleotides) under uncultured Bacteroidota bacterium. Its description in RNAcentral is "bacterial SSU rRNA". It matches the Rfam family "Bacterial small subunit ribosomal RNA", at positions 39 to 496 of the family's 1533-position model. Lineage: Bacteria; Pseudomonadati; Bacteroidota. The record is from RNAcentral.
GCGGCAGGCCUAACACAUGCAAGUCGAACGGUAACAUAGAUUGCUUGCAAUCUGAUGACGAGUGGCGCACGGGUGCGUAACGCGUAUGCAAUCUACCUUUUACAGGAGAAUAGCCCAGAGAAAUUUGGAAUAAUGCUCCAUAAUAUCAUUUAUCAGCAUUGGUUUAUGAUUAAUGCUCCGGCGGUAAAAGAUGAGCAUGCGUUCUAUUAGCUAGUAGGUGAGGUAACGGCUCACCUAGGCUACGAUAGAUAGGGGCCCUGAGAGGGGGAUCCCCCACACUGGUACUGAGACACGGACCAGACUCCUACGGGAGGCAGCAGUGAGGAAUAUUGGACAAUGGAGGAAACUCUGAUCCAGCCAUGCCGCGUGCAGGAUGACUGCCCUAUGGGUUGUAAACUGCUUUUAUAUAGGAAGAAACACUCCCACGUGUGGGGGCUUGACGGUACUAUAUGAAUAAGGAUCGG